CUCUGUAAUAAUCAGUUUAUAUUUCUUAUACUUUUUCAGCGCUCGAUGAGUACGACAGAAUCAUUAUUCUUGUGGCAGUCGGUAUCGCUCUCCUUUUGCUGUCUCUGCUGAUCUUGUUGUUUGCUGUAUGUCGAGUAAUGAAAUUACGGAAAUCUGGCUUCUGAAGGGCGUCCUAUAYUACUCCACAUACGCAUUUUAGAUUUAUCUCCAGGCAACAAAUAUCGCUCGUCAUAUCGUUCGUCAUUAUUUGUAGAAAAGGUCUUCCUCGAAGUAUAUUUUAAUAGAUAUCGCUCAAGUUCAAGCGACCCCCUAUAAUAAGUACAAGGAAAGAUGGUAAAAGCAGUCCUCGUACAGUGAACAUUCCUAUAUCACCUAUGAAGCGUACCAUACUCGGUUUUCUGCUUUUUAUGAAUUGCUAAUAAACCAAUUUUUGUAAA
Exaiptasia diaphana is the source of this 437-nucleotide long non-coding RNA. RefSeq lists it as uncharacterized. The transcript is spliced from 3 exons. The record is from RefSeq and is a predicted model, not a curated record. NCBI's taxonomy places the organism in Eukaryota, Metazoa, Cnidaria, Anthozoa, Actiniaria, Aiptasiidae.